This 196-nucleotide ribosomal RNA is filed under the name uncultured bacterium. Its description in RNAcentral is "partial 16S ribosomal RNA". It matches the Rfam family "Bacterial small subunit ribosomal RNA", at positions 1297 to 1500 of the family's 1533-position model. The record is from RNAcentral.
AUUGGAGUCUGCAACCCGACUCCAUGAAGCUGGAUUCGCUAGUAAUCGCGCAUCAGCCACGGCGCGGUGAAUACGUUCCCGGGCCUUGUACACACCGCCCGUCAAGCCAUGGAAGCCGGGAGUGCCUGAAGUGCGUGACCGCAAGGAGCGUCCUAAGGCAAUACCGGUGACUGGGGCUAAGUCGUAACAAGGUAAC